Molecule: ribosomal RNA, 253 nt
Filed under: uncultured prokaryote
Description: partial 16S ribosomal RNA
Rfam family: Bacterial small subunit ribosomal RNA
Source: RNAcentral
ACGAACCGUGCGAACGUUGUUCGGAAUCACUGGGCUUAAAGGGCGCGUAGGCGGCUUCGCAAGUCCGGGGUGAAAGCCCCCAGCUCAACUGGGGAAGUGCCUUGGAAACUGCGGAGCUCGAGCGAGGUAGGGGUCGUGGGAACUUCCGGUGGAGCGGUGAAAUGCGUUGAUAUCGGAAGGAACGCCGGUGGCGAAAGCGCACGACUGGACCUCUCCUGACGCUGAGGCGCGAAAGCCAGGGGAGCAAACGGGA